CGCUGCCAUCGUCAGAUGGGGGAGGAAAGUCCGGACAGGGUAGAGCAUCGCACUGUGGAAAGCACAGAUAGGCGUAAGUUUAUGGGGGGUGUAACAGAAAAUUACCGCCUCUUAUGAGGUAAGGGUGAAAAUGUGGGGUAAGAGCCCACGGCGGGUAAUGGUGACAUUAUCCGGGUAUGCUCCUGCGACCUGCAAGGCCAAAUAUACCGACAUUUAAGGAUUGCUCGUCCGUUGUCGGGGGGUAGGCUGCUUAGAUAAAUGAUAGAGGCCUGGCAACAGGUACAGAACUCGGCUUAUCGUCC
Molecule: RNase P RNA, 302 nt
Filed under: Weissella confusa
Lineage: Bacteria; Bacillati; Bacillota; Bacilli; Lactobacillales; Lactobacillaceae
Description: partial RNase P RNA component class A
Rfam family: Bacterial RNase P class A
About the family: Ribonuclease P (RNase P) is a ubiquitous endoribonuclease, found in archaea, bacteria and eukarya as well as chloroplasts and mitochondria. Its best characterised activity is the generation of mature 5'-ends of tRNAs by cleaving the 5'-leader elements of precursor-tRNAs.
Source: RNAcentral